UACAGAGGUCCCAAGCGUUGUUCGGAUUCACUGGGCGUAAAGGGUGCGUAGGUGGCCGGGUAAGUCUGACGUGAAAUCUCCAAGCUCAACUUGGAAACUGCGUCGGAUACUAUCCGGCUAGAGGAUCGGAGGGGAGACUGGAAUACUUGGUGUAGCAGUGAAAUGCGUAGAUAUCAAGCGGAACACCGGUGGCGAAGGCGACCUUCUGGACAGUGACUGACGCUGAGACGCGAAAGCGUGGGGAGCAAACAGG
RNAcentral lists this ribosomal RNA (253 nucleotides) under uncultured bacterium. RNAcentral's name for it is "partial 16S ribosomal RNA". It matches the Rfam family "Bacterial small subunit ribosomal RNA", at positions 524 to 776 of the family's 1533-position model. The record is from RNAcentral.